RNAcentral lists this ribosomal RNA (439 nucleotides) under uncultured bacterium. RNAcentral describes it as "partial 16S ribosomal RNA". It matches the Rfam family "Bacterial small subunit ribosomal RNA", at positions 339 to 795 of the family's 1533-position model. The record is from RNAcentral.
CUACGGGACGCAGCAGUGAGGAAUAUUGCACAAUGGGGGGAACCCUGAUGCAGCAACGCCGCGUGGAGGAUGACGCAUUUCGGUGUGUAAACUCCUUUUAUAUGUCAAGAAAAUGACGGUAGCAUAUGAAUAAGCACCGGCUAACUCCGUGCCAGCAGCCGCGGUAAUACGGAGGGUGCAAGCGUUACUCGGAAUCACUGGGCGUAAAGGACGCGUAGGCGGGAUAUCAAGUCAGGUGUGAAAUCCUACAGCUUAACUGUAGAACUGCACUUGAAACUUCUAAUCUAGAGUAUGGGAGGGGGAGAUGGAAUUAGUGGUGUAGGGGUAAAAUCCGUAGAUAUCACUAGGAAUACCUAAAGCGAAGGCGAUCUCCUGGAACAUUACUGACGCUAAGGCGUGAAAGCGUGGGGAGCAAACAGGAUUAGAUACCCCCGUAGUC